GACGAACGCUGGCGGCGUGCUUAACACAUGCAAGUCGAACGGAAAGGCCCUGCUUUUGUGGGGUGCUCGAGUGGCGAACGGGUGAGUAACACGUGAGUAACCUGCCCUUGACUUUGGGAUAACUUCAGGAAACUGGGGCUAAUACCGGAUAGGAGCUCCUGCUGCAUGGUGGGGGUUGGAAAGUUUCGGCGGUUGGGGAUGGACUCGCGGCUUAUCAGCUUGUUGGUGGGGUAGUGGCUUACCAAGGCUUUGACGGGUAGCCGGCCUGAGAGGGUGACCGGCCGCAUUGGGACUGAGAUACGGCCCAGACUCCUACGGGAGGCAGCAGUGGGGAAUAUUGCACAAUGGGCGGAAGCCUGAUGCAGCAACGCCGCGUGCGGGAUGACGGCCUUCGGGUUGUAAACCGCUUUCGCCUGUGACGAAGCGUGAGUGACGGUAAUGUGUAAAGAAGCACCGGCUAACUACGUG
RNAcentral lists this ribosomal RNA (468 nucleotides) under uncultured bacterium. Its description in RNAcentral is "partial 16S ribosomal RNA". It matches the Rfam family "Bacterial small subunit ribosomal RNA", at positions 28 to 507 of the family's 1533-position model. The record is from RNAcentral.